CAGUCGCCGCGGGAAUACGGAGGGGGCUAGCGUUGUUCGGAAUUACUGGGCGUAAAGCGCACGUAGGCGGCUUGGUAAGUUAGAGGUGAAAGCCUGGAGCUCAACUCCAGAAUUGCCUUUAAGACUGCCGAGCUAGCAGGUGAGAGAGGUAAGUGGAAUUCCGAGUGUAGAGGUGAAAUUCGUAGAUAUUCGGAAGAACACCAGUGGCGAAGGCGGCUUACUGGCUCAUACUGGACGCUGAGGUGCGAAAGCGUGGGGAGCAAACAGGAUUAGAUACCCCGGUAGUCCCUGUCUCUUAUAC
RNAcentral lists this ribosomal RNA (301 nucleotides) under uncultured bacterium. RNAcentral's name for it is "partial 16S ribosomal RNA". It matches the Rfam family "Bacterial small subunit ribosomal RNA", at positions 509 to 807 of the family's 1533-position model. The record is from RNAcentral.